Long non-coding RNA from Gigantopelta aegis, 897 nucleotides. RefSeq lists it as uncharacterized. The record is from RefSeq and is a predicted model, not a curated record. NCBI's taxonomy places the organism in Eukaryota, Metazoa, Mollusca, Gastropoda, Neomphalida, Peltospiridae. The transcript is spliced from 2 exons.
GCCUUCGGCUCGGGGUAAAAGAACACACAGAGGGUACAUAAAAAGCCAUAUACCCCUCGUGAUGCUUCUACAACUUAUAUUAAUUCGACAUCGAAAAUAUUUCAAGGGAGGUAACUCUGACCCGCAACAGCGAAAAUGUAGAACUUCACAGCAGGGACACAUUUUGAUAAAAUUAAACGAAAUGUGUAGUCUCUGUGCGUCUAUGGAGAAACCUGAAAUGGAAACGGAGUGGGAGAGUACACGUGGCUAUGAGACAACUUUCAGUAGAUUCAAUUAUACUUCAAGCUUGAUGCUAUUAUGUUUUCUGUUUCCAACUGUGACAGAACCUGGAACAGAAAUGAAGUGUGUGACAAUAAUUCAUAGACAAAUUUAGACUAAUACUCUUACAUGGAUGCUAAAUUUGGUAGAUCUAGCCAUAAAUGUUUUAUUAUAAUUCAAAGUGGUAUAUAGUUAUAUUUAUAAUAAUUCAUUGUUUGAAUUUGUUUUUAUAAAGCACUUUAUUGAACUAAAAUAAUCAUAGCUGCAUUUAGUAAAUUAUUUAGCACACAUGUGUGACUGCUGUCUAAUGCCUUAAGUGUUUCAGCUGCUAAAAUAUGUUUUGGGGAUAUUUUUUCUGGAUAGAAAUUUACCUUUCUGAUAUUGUACGAGUGUUUGGACAUUCCUUUCAAAGGUGAAAUAUGGCUACUUAUAUUGCUUUGUUUCUAAUAAUGAUAUUGAAGGUGUAAAGUAUGUAAAUAUUUUUGUAAGAAAUUGAUUAAACAUAUUGGCCAAUCAUUGGCAUUCGUCGUGUGAUAAGUUUUUACUGGUUUGAGUUAAAAGACUGGUACAUAUGAUAAGUUUUAUUGCAUCUUUUAUUGAAAUCUUCAAGUAUUCAAUAUUAUUAUGAGUCUAGGUAAA